This 526-nucleotide ribosomal RNA is filed under the name uncultured bacterium. RNAcentral describes it as "bacterial SSU rRNA". It matches the Rfam family "Bacterial small subunit ribosomal RNA", at positions 355 to 896 of the family's 1533-position model. The record is from RNAcentral.
UGGGGAAUAUUGGACAAUGGGGGCAACCCUGAUCCAGCAAUUCUGUGUGCACGAUGAAGGUUUUCGGAUUGUAAAGUGCUUUCAGCAGGGAAGAAAAAAAUGACGGUACCUGCAGAAGAAGCGACGGCUAAAUACGUGCCAGCAGCCGCGGUAAUACGUAUGUCGCAAGCGUUAUCCGGAAUUAUUGGGCAUAAAGGGCAUCUAGGCGGCCAGAUAAGUCUGGGGUGAAAACUUGCGGCUCAACCGCAAGCCUGCCCUGGAAACUAUGUGGCUAGAGUACUGGAGAGGUGGACGGAACUGCACGAGUAGAGGUGAAAUUCGUAGAUAUGUGCAGGAAUGCCGAUGAUGAAGAUAGUUCACUGGACGGUAACUGACGCUGAAGUGCGAAAGCUAGGGGAGCAAACAGGAUUAGAUACCCUGGUAGUCCUAGCUGUAAACGAUGAUUACUGGGUGUGGGCAUGAAGAGUGUCCGUGCCGAAGCUAAUGCGAUAAGUAAUCCGCCUGGGGAGUACGGCCGGCAAGGCUG